This 69-nucleotide transfer RNA is filed under the name Marmota marmota marmota (Alpine marmot). It matches the Rfam family "tRNA". Rfam says of the family: Transfer RNA (tRNA) molecules are approximately 80 nucleotides in length. Their secondary structure includes four short double-helical elements and three loops (D, anti-codon, and T loops). Further hydrogen bonds mediate the characteristic L-shaped molecular structure. tRNAs have two regions of fundamental functional importance: the anti-codon, which is responsible for specific mRNA codon recognition, and the 3' end, to which the tRNAs corresponding amino acid is attached (by aminoacyl-tRNA synthetases). tRNAs cope with the degeneracy of the genetic code in two manners: having more than one tRNA (with a specific anti-codon) for a particular amino acid; and 'wobble' base-pairing, i.e. permitting non-standard base-pairing at the 3rd anti-codon position. RNAcentral also lists the same sequence under 2 other names. The record is from Rfam by way of RNAcentral. Lineage: Eukaryota; Metazoa; Chordata; Mammalia; Rodentia; Sciuridae.
GCAUGUGGCUGAAUGGUAAAGCACAUGCCUGACAUGCAUGCGGACUUGGGUCCAAUCCCCAGCACUGCA